GAUGAACGCUGGCGGCGUGCCUAAUACAUGCAGGUCGAGCGAACGGACGAGAAGCUUGCUUCUCUGAUGUUAGCGGCGGACGGGUGAGUAACACGUGGAUAACCUACCUAUAAGACUGGGAUAACUUCGGGAAACCGGAGCUAAUACCGGAUAAUAUUUUGAACCGCAUGGUUCAAAAGUGAAAGACGGUCUUGCGGUCACUUAUAGAUGGAUCCGCGCUGCUUUAGCUAGUUGGUAAGGUAACGGCUUACCACGGCAACGAUGCAUAGCCGACCUGAGAGAGUGAUCGGCCACACUGGAACUGAGACACGGUCCAGACUCCUACGGGAGGCAGCAGUAGGGAAUCUGCCGCAAUGGGCGAAAGCCUGACGGAGCAACGCCGCGCGAGUGAUGAAGGUCUUCGGAUCGUAAAACUCUGUUAUUGGGGAAGAACAUAUGUGUACGUAACUGUGCACAUCUUGACGGUACCUAAUCAGAAAGCCACGGCUAACUACGUG
Molecule: ribosomal RNA, 497 nt
Filed under: uncultured bacterium
Lineage: Bacteria
Description: partial 16S ribosomal RNA
Rfam family: Bacterial small subunit ribosomal RNA
Source: RNAcentral